This 292-nucleotide ribosomal RNA is filed under the name uncultured Acidothermus sp. Its description in RNAcentral is "partial 16S ribosomal RNA". It matches the Rfam family "Bacterial small subunit ribosomal RNA", at positions 505 to 796 of the family's 1533-position model. Lineage: Bacteria; Bacillati; Actinomycetota; Actinomycetes; Acidothermales; Acidothermaceae. The record is from RNAcentral.
GUGUCAGCCGCCGCGGUAAUACGUAGGGCGCGAGCGUUGUCCGGAAUUACUGGGCGUAAAGAGCUCGUAGGCGGCUUGUCGCGUCUGCUGUGAAAUCCCGGGGCUUAACCCCGGGCGUGCAGUGGAUACGGGCAGGCUGGAGGCAGGCAGGGGUGAACGGAAUUCCCGGUGUAGCGGUGAAAUGCGCAGAUAUCGGGAGGAACACCGGUGGCGAAGGCUGGUCCCUGGGCCUGUUCUGACGCUGAGGAGCGAAAGCGUGGGGAGCGAACAGGAUUAGAAACCCUCGUAGUCC